This 44145-nucleotide long non-coding RNA is filed under the name Amborella trichopoda. RNAcentral's name for it is "long non-coding RNA (ATRI_LNC004457)". The record is from RNAcentral. Lineage: Eukaryota; Viridiplantae; Streptophyta; Magnoliopsida; Amborellales; Amborellaceae.
AAAAAAAAAAAAAGUGUAUAUAAAUUUACAAAAAUAAAAAAUUUGAUUUGUAAUACUUUUUAAAAUAUUCUUUACAUUAUGGUAACAAUUAAAAAUUGUUUUGGUCAUUAAUACUCACUUUUAUAUUUUUCUAUUUUUUCUAGAAAAUUUUAAAAAUAGCUCUUGAAAAAUAUAAAAUGAGUUAAAAUGUAUUUUUUUUUUAUUAAUUUUCAACUUCAUUUGAAUGUGUUUUGUUUCAAUCAUUCUUUAUAUAAUUUACAUAUUUUAGUAAAUUUAUUUUUUUAAUAUGUUUUUGACCACCUGGAAUUUGCUCAAUUAAAAUAGUUGAAUCGAUCGGUUUACCAGUUAGAUCGGUUAAAUCGCUUCCAAACCCAUGUCCGGUUAACCGGUUAGCUUUUGUAAACACUGGUCUCUUGUUUAAGAUAUUUUCUUGUUCUUUAUAUUGAUGGGUAAGUGGGAAUCGAAGAAUUUUGAGUUGUGUUACCUUUUAGCAUGGUCCCUAUGCAUGCUUUCAUUAUUGGCACUUGAGUUGAAAUAAUUUGUAUUCUACUUUCUUCACGGGUCCUAAUUACCGGUGAGCAGAAAAACAUCGCGACUACAAAAGCACCUCUCAAUGAUUGCUGCUAUUUGAAACCUGUUUUCGAACACAUUCUAGAGAGAUAAUGUGCACCUAGAGAGAGAAAAUUCUGUAGAGGGUGUUGGAGAGAGAGAGAGUUUAGAAAAAUAUGUGCAACCUUUGUUUGUAAAACUCGGCGAGUCAAACCGGAACCUAGCACUAGCCUAUUUGGAUUUUGGCCAUUUUAGUGUUGUGACCGGCUAUUUUAAAAACUUCAAAAAAUUUAUAUAAAAUCUCAAAAGAUAGAGGAUUUGUUUUUAAUAUUUUUUUUAUCAUUUUGAUAAAGAUUGGAAAGUAUUUUGACCAUAAAUAUUUAUUUAUAUAUAUAUAUUUUUUUUUUUUAAUUUUCAAAAUAUCUCUAACACAAAUUGAUGGGUUUUUAGUAAAUCAUUUUUUAAUAUAUUUUUUAAACUUUUUUGUAUUUUUUUAAUAUUUUUUAGACUGGUCAAGACAUGACUUGUUUACUCGAAACCAAACUAUCGGCCAGUUUUCGAGGUAGGAGAACAAUAUUAUGAUCAUCAUGACUAGAGAAAACCUGUGGUCACAUGGGUCAUCACAAUUCAAUAAAUGGUUAAGUUGUGAAGGAGAUCGCUUAGGAGAAUAUUGGGAAAAGGCUCUACCAGAGUCCACUCCCUUAUCACUGUUCAAUCAUCCAUUAGACGAUGAUGAUUCUUUUGACUGGUCAUAAAGUUUAUAGUAUUAUUUUCCAAAAAGAGGCUGAAAGCCUGUAUGACGUGCUCAUGUGAUUAACUCCAUCGGGCAAAAGAGUUAUUUCGGAGAAUUUUUUAGAUCUGAAAUUCUAGGGUCCACUUAAAAAUCACAUUAUGAUCAUUUAAGGGGUGCGGUUUUUAUAGAGCCGAGGUUCUAAACCAUCGAAUUAGAGUCCACUUUCAAAUAGUAUCGAGAAAUGUGGUUUGAAUAUUGGAAAUCUUUGUGAUAGCCUUAAAAUAUAUUUCCAUCUUUAAUUAUACAAUUUAAAGGUUAAAAAAUAGUGUAGAUGGAGCAGAUUUAUGAACAUUUAAAAAUACUAAAAAUUGACGGUAAAAAAAUACGUUACAAGAUGCACUAUUUUCAAAACUUGAAAUCCAUUUUUUUCUCAUGUCCAAGCAUGUUGAUGUCGAGAUAUUCAGUUUGAGGAUAUUUGGGCACCAAAACAACCUCUUCUAAUAAAAUUUUUGAGUCGGGCUGUAAUUUGAUUGUUUAGAGCCUGAGCUCUAUAUAAAUUUUUCCCUUAUUUAAAACAAUAAAAUUGGGAGUCAAAAACAGAUUCUCACCACGUCAUUUGAUGGGGUAAAUACAUCCUUAAAUUUUUGGGGUCUUAAGAAUACUUCUAGUUUAGGGUUGCAUGAUAAAGAACGAACGGCCAGUACGCUCCAGUCUCGGUAUCGGUCAGUGAUUUAAAAAACGAAUCGGUGAUCUAAAUCGAGCAUCCAAAAAACCGGUUUAGAUCAGUGAAUCGGCGAUCUGGAUAGCCGUUUUACUGUGCUAAAAAAAGUAGUGAACUUGCAAAAAGCACAUGAAAAAACAGCGAACAUGUCAAAAACCGAUCCAAAGAGUGAAUCUGUAGUUCGAACCCAUGUUUUGUUGUGCGGAACUGCCGGUUCCCUUUUUAAACUCAGCCAUUUUCCUAUACAUAUGUAGAACUUGAAUGCGUGACCAAUUUCUAAUUCAGAUCGAUGAUUCCGUACCAAUCCCCUAUACAUAUGUAGCAUUAGAAUGCGUGACCAAUUUCUAAUUCAGAUCGAUGAUUCCGUACCAAUCCCCUAUAUAUAUGUAGAACUAGAAUGCGUGACCAAUUUCUAAUUAAGAUCGAUGAUUCCGUACCAAUCCGAUGUUUUUUAAAUCAUCGAUAUCGAUACAUAUUGUGCAAUCGUAGAAUUAUCAUGGAAAAGGAGUAAAAGCUGACCAUGCUACAAUGAACAAUCAGGUACCGAUGCUAUGUUACACAAUUUGUCUAAAACAUAGCGAUACACACGAGGGUUGAUGAGAAGACCUAUAGUUCAUAUCCACCGUCCAUCAGGAACAAUGGAUGGCUGAUAUGCUGAUGUGUAUCGGUACACAGUAACAGUACACAAUAUACACACGCUCCCUAGAGCAUCAUGGAACCUGAACUUUUCCGAAAUUCCCUGAAACUUUGAAGUUUGAACAAAGUUUAGAAUCCCUUUGCACGCGUACCUAGAGAGAGAAACACAGGGGAUCCUAGAGAGAGAAUCGACCAAAGUAGCGAUGAGGUCACGCGGCCCAAAAUUUAUGCUCCCGUGAGGCACUCUCACAAGACGUAAACUCCUUUUCCCGACGAAACCCAACAGCUUUGCCGAAAUUUCGUGAAAAUUCUGCACGCCGCCAUGUUGAGGUUCGAGCCUUUCUUGGGCCUUGCCCUAUGCGGCCGAGCCACGAUUGGACCGCUCUGUGUUCGGGCACGGAACCCAAACAUGGGCCUGCCGGCCUGAGCAACCUAUAAUCGACUCGGUGUAAUUCACAAAAAUUGGGUAGGUUUUGGUUCGGCAAAAAAUUAUUAAAAAAAUAAGAAUAUAAAGGAAAAAGUUUAUCUAAUGUUGCAACUUUAAAAUGUAGAAUUAUAUAUGCACCUCAAAAAAUCUACCAUAAAAAAUUGUUUUACUAUUGAAAAAAACAUCUAAUUGAUCGUCUAGACAUUAAAAAGUAUGAAUAAGAAAAAAAAAAAUUUUGAGUUCCAAAAAUAGUGCAUCUUGCAGUACAUUAUCUACACCAACCAUUUUCAAGAUUUUCAUAUAUUUAUAGAUCUACUUGCUUUCAUCAUUUUUGGAGUUUAAAAUUUUGUAAUUAAAUAUGAAAAUAGAUUUUAAGAUAAUCUUAAGAAUUUUUUUCAACAAAAUUACGUGUUAUGAUAAUUUUUGGAGGUGCGCCUUAAUUGGAUUGUUUAAGGUUGCAACCUUGUAAAAACCACACCCAAAUAUAAAAUACACUCAACAAAUAUGAAGAUUGUGUUUGUGGUAAACUUAAAGAACAAUUGUUUCAUGCGGGCCAUCGCAUAAAACAAUAUGCGCUCCUAAGGUAUAAAGCAUCCAUCUUAAAGAUGGACAUAAAUAGGUGGUCCAUCCAAAACAAUUGUAACUAAAGAUACAAAUAUUUUUUUAAUAUAAUUACUAUUUCUGAUUUUCAAUUUUUUUUCAUAAUCAUGAUCUUCAUGUUAAAGAUUAUCCAUACCCUAAAAAUUAAGAACAAAUUACAUUUAAAAAAUAUAUUUAUUCCCAACCCAGCAUUUUUACAAUAUGCAGGUUGGCUGCAUGCUAACCGCACCCAAACUUAAAUGAAACACAUCUAAAUCAAUGGGGGUAUUUGUGAAAUGAUCUAGGAGCACCCAAACUUAAAUGAAACACAUCUAAAUCAAUGGGGGUAUUUUUGAAAUGAUCUAGGAACAUUCUAAACAUAUUUCAAAAAACAAAAAUAUAAAAAUAAAUAUUCAUGGCUCACACACCGUCCAAUCUUUACCAAAAUGAUAGAAAACAUUAGAAAACACAUUACAAAUAAGUUUCUUAUUUUCUUAAAUUUUUUAAAUUUUUUCAAUUCUUUUAAACAGUUUGGAAUUUGACCACAAAAACUAGCUAAAACUGGACCGGCCAAAUGCCAGUUCCAAGUAACCUGGCCGGUUCCAAUUCUACCCAGCAUGGCUAUCGAAAACUGGAACAGCUAACAUUUUAUUUUUCUUUAGAUUUUUUCCUUGUUAUUAUUGGGAACCUGGUCCAAGCUAGGUCGGCUAUAUCCCUGUAAGGAGGAGCGGGCUGUGGCCUACAUUACUUUGGUGCAUGCCCUAUGCAGUACCUCAAGUUGUAAUCGUGUCUGAUCUAGUUUUUUGAAGGAUACAAAGCUUUUCAAAAAUUGAUCGAUGAGCCAACUUAGAAUCGCUCGAUUAGGUUCAGUCCCACGAUGAGAUAAAAAAAAAAAUACCAGAGGUGUAGAUUUCCAAAUCCCCCAACCCAACCCCAAUCUCAACCUUACAUUUGGAUUUGGAAACCACAAUCGGGCCAUCACCAUUUCAUCUCUGGAAAUAAGGUCUAUAAAGUUGUCAACUUUAUACUACAAAAGUGCGGCAAACUUCAAAAGUCCGUUGGAAAAGAUUGUUCUUAUAUCAUUUCAAUCUCGAGAUUUAUAGAUACAACAAAGAGUAAUGAUCCUAUGAGACCCUCCCGCACCCAUGUGUAAAGGAUCUUAAAGGAUCACCAUUAAAUUUGGCACAGAUCUCUACAAAAGUUAUUACAUGGGUGUGGGACUUGAUUUUUUUAGAGAUCUGUGCUAAAAUUAAUAGUGAUCCUUUGGGGUUCUACACACAUGGGUGUGUGAGGGACUCAGAGGAUCAUUACUUUACAAAAAUACGGUCAAGUCUUAAAAAUAAUGCAUGUUGUAACACAUUAUCAUAAUUGUCUACUUUCAAGAUUUUAAGUAUUUAUCAAUCUACCUAUUCUGCACUAUUUUUAAAAAAUAAAUUUUCAGAAUUAGGGUUUGAAACAGAUUUUCUAGCCAUCAUUUAAGCUAUCCAUAUUAAAAUUACAUCUUCCAAUAGGGUUUGAAAGUGUACCUUGAUUUGAUUGUUUAAGAUAGGUUUGAUUGAUAUAUUCAUAUAGAUGCAAGAUUCCCAGCAUUGAGCUUUUCGAAUUACUACUUCGACGUUUAUAUAUGAGUGGUGAUAGAAUAAAGUUUUAUUUAGAUUAAGAAACAUGAAUUCACAUUAACAUUAUAGCCAGAAACAAAAAUAGGUUAAAAAGUUUUACAAAUGACAAAAUUAACAAUAACUUUUGCUGUGCAUCAAAAUUUAAACUCAAAAUUCAUUGCGGUAAUUAAUUAAUUGAACUUCUAAUCUCUUGUCAAAUUGACCAAUUAAACUCAUGUUUUUAUAAUCAAUUUGAUCCCCCGAUCCAAUUGGGGGCAGACGCUUGUAAAAAUAUCAUUUGGAUUUAAGAAAAAAUUGCUUGGAUUUAUCUAUAGUUUAUUUUUUAUCUCCAAAAUUACGUUUUAUUUCUUCAUUCAUCUUGAUCCACCCGGAAUAGGAUUUGAUUUGUUCAUAUAAAAUAUUUCUUCUGCUCAAUAUUUGCCUUAUUGAAAUUUUAUGGCUUAUUUUGGAUAAAAACAUGUUUGUUUUCUAAUUCAAAUAGCUAAUUUUACUGUCAAAUUUUCAUACAUACUAUUAUUAGAAAAGUCCCUAUCACAAUAAUAACAAAAGCCAUAAAAUAUUGUGAUAAAUUUAUUUUACUAAGAUUUAGCCAUAAUUGUUAGUAAAAAGUUUGUAUAAUGUGUUAACCUCGUACUAUAAAAAAAAGUUUACCUCAAAACUCAGCAGAAAAGGCUAUUUUGAUACCAAAAAAUCUUCCAAAAAAUAAUUUCGACCCUAAGAUGUAUCGAUGUGAAAAGAAAAAAGUGGAUUUCAAAACCUAAAAAAAGUGCAUUUUGUAAUUUAUUAUCUUAAAUACCCAUUUCCAAGAUUUUCGAGUAUUUAUAGAUCUACUACUUAAUUGACACUCUUUUUUAAACCUUAAAUUUCAUAAUUAUAUAUGGAAAUAGAUUUAAGGACUAUUACAAAGAUUAACGGCAAUCGAACCACGUCUUUCAGCAUCAGUUCAGAGUGCACCUUACUCUUAUUGUUUAAGGCGCCAGCCUUAUAUAAAUUCCACCCAAAAUUGUUAUUGACACUAGAACUCUAUGAUAAAAAAGACAAAUUCAAUUUAUAAGUAACUGGCACAAAGUUACUUUUGGAGAGAGAGAGAGAGAGAGAGUUCUAUACUUGUGACAACCUCACCAACCAAUAAGCAUCACAAAUAAUGAUGGACACGGUUUCUAUGAGUCCAUGUAGAAAUUUCACUUCUGAAAAAUCUAUUUUUAAGAUGGAUUUUUGGACUUAAUUUUUAGGGACAUGUUAUCUCUAACAUGGAGAUGAAAAAAUAAAAAAACAUUUUAAAAAUUAGAAAUAAAAUUCUAUUAAUAAAACAUUUGGACCAUUAGUUUCAAUUGUUUUUAGAUGGACCACCUAUUUGCAUCUAUCUUUAAAAUAGAUGCUUUAUACCUCGGGAUCGGGACCGCAAAUGUAGAAAUGCAGUCCCCGCAGCCUGAAACAAUUUUCCAAUAAUGAUUUAUGUUUAAAACACAUUGUACUUCCUCAAGUAAAGAGGUGCUAAAGAAAUGGCCUACAAUUUUGGCAUCUAUUUGAUUAAUCACCACAUGAACAUUUUUUAAAUUGAUAGACCUGAAGUUCCUAAACAUUUACAUCUAAAUAUCUAAAGAAAAUUGAAUGGUUCUCUGUUCAAUCUUUUAGGACGUUAUUUCUUCAAGCACAUGUAAUAACACAUGUUUCUUUUUCUCUGUUCUUUUGUAAAAGUUGGUUGAUAGGUUUGAGGAUGUUACAUCCUAGAAAUGCUCCUAGGCAUAUUUGUACCCAAAUGAUGGACAAUUUGCUCGGAUCGGAGCAUAUAAUCUUUUGGCAAAGAAAAUUAACUCAGUUUCUAGAUAAGGAUCACAUAAAACGCGCACCCUUAAGUUCCUAGAAGGCUUUAACAUAGCUUCAGACGUCUGAUAUCUGCAGUGGACGACUGGGAUGUCGUUCCAAAUCUGCAGACUUUGAGAAGAGAAGCAAUACACUUUUUCAGUUACUUAUUGACAUCCAACAGCUGGGUGAAGUUAAAGCACUACAGUAAAUUUCAGUGUGCGUAUAGAAUACUUUUAUCUAACAAAUUAAUCCUUAAUCCUGUGUGUGUGUGUGUGAGAGAGAGAGAGAGAGAGAGAGAUUCCUAAACUAACAUCUCAACAAGUUAGAAGAAAAAAUUCACUUUAAGAAAAUAUACAUUAUUUUUUGGGAACCAAAUGAAAACUUAUCAGAAUCAGUUAAAUUAACCAGUAAAUCCUCUGAGACUCAAGAACAAGUUAACUGCACCACCAUAGAUUGGCCGGCAAUCCAAACCUUUCACUGGCAAGCCUGAAAUCUGACAAUAAACAAAAAAACAAAGAAACACUUUCACUUUCAUGUAAAUAGAAGAGCUCUAAUUAACACAACAAACAAUGACAACAUGAAAAAAAUGAAACAUAUCAAAUCUCAUCCAUCAAGAAAGAGAGAAGUGAAACAAAAUUCAGAAAGCGAUGUUACCAUGAGCUAUGGGGUGACCAAAUGGCACUGAUGUAUCGUAAACUUUUAUACAUUCAAUUGUGCGAAAAAUUCAAGAACUUUCAUCUUUGGGGUGAAGUGUUCAAGCAAUGCCAAAUUCUAUGCGAACACUGUGGAGUCAAUCUGUACAAGAUUGGGAAAGAUUUCUCGCAGAUUAGCCAUAUAAGCUGGUGAGUCUGCCUGCAUAAUGCACAAAAUGAAAGAACAUAAGUAAAGACCAGAGAGUCCGAGCCUCGGACUUUGUUACAAUGGGUUAAGUAUAAUCCCAAAAAGAUCAUGGACACCUCUCUCUCUCUCUCUCUCUCUCUCUCUCUACACACACACACACACACAACGAACACUACGUACGACGACGUCUCCUCCCUCCCUCCCUCCUCUUCGUUGUGUGUAGUCGUACGUUACGUUACGUACGUACGUACGUACGUCNNNNNNNNNNNNNNNNNNNNACGAGAGUACCGUACGACCGUCCGGUACCGUUACGUUUACGUUAACUAGGUUAAGGUUAAGUAAUACCUAAACGAAACUACACUACGACGACUACCUCUCUCUCUCUCUCUCUCUCUCUCUCAGACACACACACACACACGAAAAGAUCUUCGAGAGCUCUCCCUCCCUCCCUCCAUGUUUGUGAGUGAGCUAUUGUACUGAGCUCAUUUGAAGUCUGAAACUUUCCAGAUAAGAAAGUGAGAAAGGCAAAGAACCAUACACAUGGGUUGUGCUCAAGGUAAAUUGUAGUCAGCGUCUCUGUGGAACCAGCAACUGCUUUACCAAUCCCUUCUAAUGAAGCUAUUUUGUUGUCAUUAAGCCAUAGGUCCUCCAAUCUGCAGAGCACAGUAUUGCUAUUACAUGAACACAAAGGCAUGCAAAUCUUCAAAAAGGAAUUAAAAGAAAAUAAGAACACAACCCAAUGUUUCAUAGGGAAAAAAGAAAAAAAGCGAUUCUCACUCCAACAUUACAUAGGGAAACAAGAAAAAAGUGAUUCUCACUUUGUCAGGUUCUCGAUAUCAUUCACAGCCGUAAGCUUAUUUGAUGAAACAUCCAAAACCCUGAGAUUUUCAAGGGUCGAUAGGCCUUCCAUUUUCUGAAUACCAUUAUGGCUCAAAUAUAGUUCUUCCAAGGCAAUACAGUGCUGAGAAAUAUGACAAAAACAUCGUUACAUUAAAGAAAAAGAAAAGCAACCAUUACAUACCUAUAGAGGAUUUCUAUCUUGUACCACUCCCAUAAGAAACAUUUAUGCUUGCUACACAUUUUUCGCUAAAUAAUGCCCAUAGACAUCUGUAGUGAAACAUCUUUUGCUCCUGUAACUUUCUGUAAUUUAGUACGGCAGCAGUGAAAGAAUCAUACAAAUAAAUGGUAGACAAUUAGCCAUUGGAAUGCACACCAUAUCUUUCAAAAAACCUACACCCAUAGAAAUAAAAAAAAUGUUUCAUAAAGUAUUUUUAUCAUUGCAUUUGGCAAAUAAUGGAAAAUUCCCCAACCUAAAAAUAUUUUGGAACACAAUGCUGGAGGGCAUUCAUUGUCAAAAAAAUUUCAAACAAAUUUGGCUAAGGAAUUCCAAUAAUUUUACUCUGGGUCUAGCCUAGUUUACAUCAUGUGAUACACAUAUAUAUUUCACUGGACACCAUACUUAAUAUGCACUCAUAAAUAUCCAUAUAUUUACAGCAAACUACUGAUAAAAAAAUUUAUUCUGUCAAUUUUAGGUGUUAUUUUUCAUUAUACUUCUUAAGUGUGAUCUAGCUAACUGGGUCUACCCUAGUUUUCUUCAUGUGAUACACAUAUAUAUUUCGCUGGACACCAUACUUAAUAUGCACUCAUAAAAUAUCCAUAUAUUUACAGCAAAAUACUGAUAUAAAAAUUUAAUUUGUUCAUUUUGGGUUUUAUUUUUCAUUAUACUUCUAACUAUAAUCUAGCUAAAUGUCAAUAUUAGGGAAAUUGAUAAGCUUCAGGAAAUCCGAUAUGGUUAAUCAAGCCUUAAAUAGAUUCUAGAACUGGAAAUACACAUGGAGCAUCAUGUAAGUUUAGAAGACACUCACAGCAAUCUGCAGAUCACAUAUAUGAAACUUUAGUUAUAUCAUAUUCAUUAAGUGGUCAGUCCGCUUGGGAAUUCAGAACAAAUAUUUAAAAGUAGUCAAUUAAUUCAAGACAUCUCAUGAAGUUCUCGAUUAAUUAAGGAUAAUCAAAUGAAGAGAGACAAAGAAGUAUGGAUAGAUAAUCGAAGAAAGCGAGGCAUAUAUAUAUAUAUAUAUAUAUAUAUAUAUAUAUAGGAAAAAUCUGGCACUAGCCCACUAGCUCAUAUAAACAUAUGAGCCCAACGGCCCAAAUUCGAUCUGAAGAUCACGGAUGUCCGGUAAUGCUUGAAUUUUAUUUAUUUUUUUACAAAUCCAAAUCACUUGAAAUUUUAGAUAUGUGUUCUUCUCAUCAAGGCGCACCUAAUAAAAAUAUAAAAAAAACUUAUUCGUGAAAAAAAUGAUCANNNNNNNNNNNNNNNNNNNNNNNNNNNNNNNNNNNNNNNNNNNNNNNNNNNNNNNNNNNNNNNNNNNNNNNNNNNNNNNNNNNNNNNNNNNNNNNNNNNNNNNNNNNNNNNNNNNNNNNNNNNNNNNNNNNNNNNNNNNNNNNNNNNNNNNNNNNNNNNNNNNNNNNNNNNNNNNNNNNNNNNNNNNNNNNNNNNNNNNNNNNNNNNNNNNNNNNNNNNNNNNNNNNNNNNNNNNNNNNNNNNNNNNNNNNNNNNNNNNNNNNNNNNNNNNNNNNNNNNNNNNNNNNNNNNNNNNNNNNNAUAAAAAAACUUAUCGUGAAAAAAUGAUCAAAAUACCCCCAAAACUUUUUGGGGGUAUUUUGGUCAAUUUAUUUAUUGUAAAAUAUUUUUUUGAUAUUUUUCGAAGAUUCCCCUAUUUUUGAUGAACACACGUCUAAAAUUUCAAAGUGAUUUGGAUUUGUAGAAAAUAAAAUAAAAUUCAAACACUACCGGACAUCCUUGAUCGUUAGAUUGGCCUAGAUUCAAUCUGGGCCGUUGGGCUCAUAUGUUCAUAUGAGCUAGUAGGCUAAUCCCAGCUUUUUCCAUAUAUAUAUCCUGAUCUUGAUUAAUUAAGGAUAACCAAAUGAAGAGAGACAAAGAAGUAUGGAUAGAUAGAUAAUCGAAGAAAGAGAGGCAUAUAUGUAUAUAUAUGUGUGCGUGUGUGUGUGUGUGUGUUGGCUUCCUUUUUUUUUUUAAUUUAGUAGGUGUUGGAAAAGAAAGAAGUCACUAGAGAUUAGAUAUGUACGAGGGAACAUUAACUAGUGUGCGGAUAAUUAGUGGAGAGACAAAUGAGUUCUCAGUGACAAUGGGCCUAUAUCAGGGGUCAGCACUGAGCACAUAGCUCUUUGUUUUGGUUAUGAAAGAGUUAACUAAGCAAGAUGAUGUAUUGUGGUGUAUGUUGUUUGCGGAUGAUAUAGUUUUAAUCGAUGAGAUUAGAGGCGGUAUCAACGCAAUAAAACGUUGGAGGGAUGCUAUAAAAUUUAAAGGUUUAAAACUAGCUUGACUAAAACUAAAUAUAUUGGAUGCAAAUUUAAUAAUAAUAGGAGUAGAAACGAGAAAAUUAAGAUUAAUGGUUAAGAAAUACCUAAAAGAGAUUGUUUCCGAUAUCUAAGGACGAUAAUCUCGAAGAAUGGAGAGAUUGAAGACGAUGUCGCACAUAAAAUUAGAACUAGGUGGGCAAAGUGGAGAUGUGCAUCUAGAGUUUUAUGUGAUUGCUGCAUACGAUUGAUAUUGAAGGGGAAGUUCUAUAGGAUGGUUAUAAGACCAACUAUGAUUUAUGGGAUAGAAUGUUGUGCGGUCAAGAAACGACAUACCCAUAUGAUGAGCAUAGCUAAAAUAAGGAUGUUGAGAAAGAUAAGUGGCAAAAUAAGAAAUGAUAUAAUUCAGAAUGAAUACAUAUGAGGGAACUUAGAUGUGGCUUCAAUAGUCGAUAAGAUAAGGGAAAGUAGACUUACGUGGGCUGGCCAUGUGCAGUAUAGACCUGAUACAACACCAGUUAGGAGGUGCGACUUGGUUCAAGUGGAAAGUUCUAAAAGAGUAAGGGGAAGGCCCAAAAGACACAUAGAUAGUAGUGAGAAAAGAUAUGGUCACUUUUGGUCUUAAUGAGGGUAUGGCUCUUAAUAGAAAAGAAUGGAGGAACAAGAUUAAUGUAGAUGAACCCAAAUAAUAGGGAUAAGGCUUGGAUGAUGUUGACGAUAUAGGGUUUUUCUAUUGUUCACAACCCCUAAUAAUCAUCAUAGUCUUCUCCCAUUAAACCCUACUAGGUUACAUUUAAAAAGGGAUGUGAAUGGUAAACACUACUCAAAGUACCCUUUCUUUAUUCCAUGAUUUAUAUAAUAAGGGCAUUUUUAUCAUUGGGAAGGGUGUUAGUAAUAUCUUUACUAAAAGGCAAAGUUGUUUGUCAUCUCAAGAAGGGCAUUCUUGAAAUAUUUACUAAAAGACAAGGGCAAUUGUAAUAAUAAAGAACCUAGAGUAUCACUCCAUAUUUACACUCGUCUUUUAAUAAAACUAUCAGCAAUACCCUGUUUAAUGACAAAAGUGCCUUUACUUGUUUUACAGUUUUGGAAUAAAGAAAUGAACUAAGGUAAUUCCUAAAUAUAACCUAUAGAAUUUCAUGGGGUGUGAAUAAUAGGAAAACCCAUAAAUAUGUGUCUGUGUGCGUGUGCAUGGGGGGAGAGAUAGAGAGAGAGAGAGAGAAAGAGAGAGAGAGGUUUGCAUACCUGAAAUCCCAACAUGGAUGUUAAACGGUUGCUUUGCAAGCUAAAUUUACGGAUGCAUUUCAGCCCACAAAGUUGCACUUCUCGGAUACGGUUUCGUCCAAGCCAGAGUUCUUGCAAGUUUGUCAAAUUCUGCAAGUUCUCCAUGACCUGGAAUUGGGAAGAUUUUCCACAACAAUUACCAAAAACAAGAAAGACAGUGAGCUCCAAGUUGCCCAAAAGAGGCACUAUACAUAGCUCAGUAUAAUAGGGCCUUUUCAAAAAGGAAAGCAUAUUAAGUCCAAUGAAUUAUGGGAAGUCAUAGUUCACUAGGAUUAUGAGCAUUUGAUGAAUGAUAAAUGGUCAAGGAGAGAGAGGGGAUCCACUAGAAAGGACACGACCCAAUGGUGGGUCUUAGCAUGCUUCCCUCAUAAGAAUAGUCAAGUGCUCACCCGCAAUCUGUUUGAACCCAAUUCAAGAAUUCUUAGUUCAUGUAAGUGAUCAAGCUCCACCAUCUUGGUCACUUCAUUCUUGGAAACAUAGAGCUCUUGAAGCAUGCUUGAAACUUUGGAUACACCCUCCAAGGACGAGAUCUCAUUGAAUGAUGCAUCAAAUACAAGAAGAUUUCUGAAAAUGCUCACAUCUGGUAUCUUGGUAAGCUUGUUAUCUCUAAGCACAAGUUCCUAUCAAGCACAAAAACAAGGGGAGAAAAGCCCAUAAAAAAAAUUGUCAAUCAGAGUGAAGAAAAAAGGAUAGAGCUUUAUCAAUAACAUUAAAGAUAAAACAAUGAAAAACUACAAACAAAAAUAGGUAGAAAAUAAGAACAACUUAAGUGAUAACUCAGGGUGGAGAAAAAAAUAUUAGGAUGAGAAAGUAAUUAUGAACUAUAAAAAUAGUAAUAAAGACUAACUUUGUCCAGAAUUAUAAGAUAUCCAGGGUAAAGCAAAGGUUACAAGAUUAGUGAUAAAGUUUACAUGGUGUCUCUCAAACUCAUCUUACGUGGUUAUAUGGCAGUGUAGAAGUGUCUCAAAAAGAACACAUUUCAGCUCAUUCAACAUCGUCAUCAUUUCUUUCUUCAGCCCUCAUCAUUUUUAUCGGGUUGUACGAAUCACCACCCCCAAAACCAAUAAAACAUGAAUAAGAGAAGAACUCCUCUAACAUCCAUUUUAUUUCUUUCAUUGGUUCUUUUCGUACUUAAUAUGAUCACAAAUAAACAAAACAAAGCUCUCAAAAGAAGAUAUUUAUAGAGAUGGGAAAGGUUUCUCUACUUCCCCUACAGCAUAGAAGAUCUAUGCUUCCCCUAGCAUCCAGCCGUCCAAUUUUGAUCAAGAGAGCCACUCACCGUUUGAUCUUAGAUCCGACGUCUCACAGUAUUUUAUUUUUAGUUUUUUUUAUACGAAUUGUAUGAAUAUGAAAUUCGUACGUGCCAUCUUCUCAUUGGGGUGCACCUAUAAAAAGUAUUAAAAAUAUUUUUUUGAUAAAAUAUAAUGACCAAAAUACCCCUUGAAAAUUUCAGGGGUAUUUUGGUCAUUUUAUUUUAUUGGAAAUAUUUUUUUAAUAUUUUUUGUUAGUGCGAGUUUAAUAGACGAUUGGACGUCCAAAAUUUGAUGUCAAAAUAGAUUAUAGAAAAAUUUAAAAAUAAAAUAGUGUAGAGACGUGACGUUGUGAUUGGGGCAAUCUUAGCCCUCCAUUCAGAAUGGACGGUUGGAUAAGGGGAAGUAUAUAAGUUUUAUGUUGUAGGGGAAGCAUAGAAAGCUUGCCCCUCAAUAGGCAUCCACCAUUCAAUAAACGACUGCACCAUAGUAAUUAAAAUAGAUUAUAGAAAAAUUUAAAAAUAAAAUAGUGUAGAGACGUGACGUUGUGAUUGGGGCAAUCUUAGCCCUCCAUUCAGAAUGGACGGUUGGAUAAGGGGAAGUAUAUAAGUUUUAUGUUGUAGGGGAAGCAUAGAAAGCUUGCCCCUCAAUAGGCAUCCGCCAUUCAAUAAACGACUGCACCAUAGUAAUUAAAAUCCUAGAUCAGUGAGCAGUAUAACCAUUUAAAGACUUAAUUUCCUAAGACACCCAGUUAGACAAAAUACCAACCCUUGAUCGGGAGAUGGUUUAACCAUACGCAAAGCUUCAAAAGCAAUGCGGGGAACAGUGAUUGAUAGGUUUCUAAUAGAACUAGGCUUGUGGAAGCCUUCAAUGGGAGGAAGGAUUACCUUGAUUAGGUCAGCAUCUACCUGUUUAUUGUAUGUCAAUCUUCUCAAUUCAAGCCGCAGAUGCAAAUACAAUUUAGAGGCUAAGGAAACAGUUUUUAUGGAUUGGGUCGAUGAAAAUUAAAGAUUUCACCUAGUGAGUUGGCUUAGUGUAUGCAAGCCAAAAGGUAAGGGUACGCUGAUUCAGAAGUCUCAGGCUCUGUUAAAAAAGUGGUGGUGGAAACAUGGGAUGGAACCAGUCCACCUAUGAAAGUGGGUAGUGUUGAGUAAACACAAUGAGGAUGAUUAUGGAAGGCUCGUAAAAGAACAUCGUACAAAAGUCAAGCUAUAUAGGGCGUGGAAUCGUAUCAAUAGCAGUUGGCCUACCUUCAUAAGCAAAUACAAACUUACAAAGAAUGCAGGUGGCAAUGGCAGGCUCAAUCAGUUGGGUUAGAGAAAUAGUUGGGGUCACAUCCGCUUAGCAAAACGUACCCAGAGAUGUAUACUCUGGCCACAAGGCCGGAGUAACCAGACUUCAAAGAUUUCCAAAAUUGAUGUACAAGAGACAAGUUCAUGUACACCAGACGAUAUAAAUAUACUAAGACCGAAGAAGAAAAACAAGGUGAAAAUUAUAGUUUUGGAAACUCUCUCUCUAGAUAAAGCGUCUGCUUCUUCGUCUAUCUCUCUACAUGACAAGUUACCUUCAACUUAGCCACACUCUCCAACAUUUCUUCCAUUAUCUUUCAUGGACAAGCCUCCUUGCCCCCCACUUGAUGACAUCGAGGCAGUCUCCCUCUACGAGGACUGCCUCCUGCCUUGUAGAUACCAUAAUCCAAUAAGAAGUGACCUUGCCUCCACCACAUUUGAGCAACAGACAUGCAGGGGCCCAUAAUAGGUCACUACAUUCCUGCCUUGAUGGUUCCUCAGCAAACCUCCUAUCCCAGCUAGACAUCGGUUGCCCUUCAAGCAUCGAUCAAAGUUUAGUUUAAGGUACCCCUUCGGUGGAUGACUCCACCGCAAUGACAUUCCUGGCUUCUACAAUUCUGCCCCACUGAUUUCCUUCCAGUUUGUUUAGAAGUCCGUCAGACUAUAACCCCAGGACCUCACCCAUGAAAAGACUGCACAUCUGACUUGUUCCCUAUGAUAUCCACCCUCUAUGUUUGUUACCGAAAUGCCAAAUGCCUAUUGUUUCUUUCCAACCGAAGUUUCCACAGUGACUGCUAGUUAUGUGAAGUCACCAUAAAAUGAGACCCACUUCCACUCUGAGCAAAGGAGCGGCAGACCAAUGAGCUAAAAGAGCUUCAACAAAGACAGGUUGGACCCAUGAGAAUUCAAAAGGAAUCAGAACAAAGGACCAAAUAUUUCCAGCGUAGUGGCAGUGCAAGAAGUGAUUUACUCCUUCAACGCCACCCUUGCAGAAGAUACAGGCAUUGGGGAUUCACAAGCCUCUUCUCAUAAGAUGACGAACAAUAGUCCAUACUCUGUCCAGAGCCACUAACCAGCCAAAAGCUUGGACUUUUGGAUGUUCAUGCAUUGAAAAUACUCUGGAAACAACUAAAUUUUCCUCCGGACACCACUCUAAAAUCCAGUGCUUAGAUCUCAUUGAGAAGACACCUUUGGGAUCAGGGUCCAAAUCAGCAGAUUUUAUUUGCUUGGCAUGAAGAGCAAAUUGGGGAGGUCCCUUUGCAGCUUGGUAAAGACCUCAGUGUCCUCCUCUUUGAGUGCUCUCCUAAGGCAGGGUGUCCAAGUCGUUUGAUGCCCAGUUUCUUCAGAUACUUCAGCUACUGUGAUAUCAGGUCUUGUAGCCAAAGUAAAUAAGGCCAGGGAUUCCAUGCUAAGAGGGUUUGGAGUGAGCCAGUGAUCGCGUGUUUGUCUGCCGUCUCCAAGCUCCCCUCUCACAUAGAAGAGACUCUGGAAAGGCUCAGGUUUAGAUGCCAUAUGGAUUCCUGUCCUGCAUCAUGCUCUAAAGGACAAUCAGAUCACAGCUCAUACAAAGAAAGACUAACAGUUGCAGAGUUUCUUUCACUUGCCAAGAUGCAAUGAUGCUUUGAUCAGGGAACCACAGAGUAAAGGAGUGCUUUAAGUGAUGCCAAUGUAUAAAAUCUUAAAAAGGUGUAGUGCUGGAAACUAUGUGGUUCAAAGAGUUUGGUCAAUCCUAGGCCCCCAUAAGACUCAAGGUUUCUAAUGGUUAGACGGGGUAGAUAAGGUGCUGACAAUCGAUCAUCUGGAAGAAAGAUGCCUGCUCAUCCCUACAUAUGCUUCCUGUUUAAAAAGAACAACAAAAUUUAAGAAAUUGUUAUUAUAUUGGCCCUUUGCCGACUGCACGGUACAUGGGUGACACUUGUCUCGAUUAAGGAUAUGAUGCCACAAUGGUUUACACCACCAUUGCCAAGGUUAGUCUGAUUUUUGUGGCGACCAACCUUGCUGAAGGAGAACUUCUCCGCAGUUGGGAAAUGCAUCUCCCCACAAACAUAUUAAGGAAGUGAUCAUGGUCCAGUAUCUAUAAUUGAUUAUUUUCUAAUUGUUGUGCUUUCUCCCUGGAAUUUCCUCCAAUAUACGUUCCUUGUAUUCCAUGCCCUUCCACCACAUAUCAAUGACAUUUUUCCAAGUUUCCCAAAGUGUUUCUAACAAGAUUCCAAGCCACCAUUUUCUUCUACUUUAUGCUUUUUCCAUAUGAUGCUCCAAACAUUUUCAUGCAUGAGAAUCCCCAAUUUCUCAUCCAUGUCUCUGAUGUUUCUAUAUUGUGUUCUUUCAUACAAUUUAUUGUAGUCUUUCAAAUGUUCCCAUUUCCCUAAUCUCUUUUUUGAAUAAUGAGUUCCAUAGCGGCAUAAAAUGUCUCCAAGAGGCAUCUACCAUUCCGCCAAUUGUGUACCCAAAACUAAACAUCGGAUUUGAGGUCAUAUGACAACGUCAAGUUCCAAAAAGUGAAGGAAAACCAAACAACAAAGCAAAAACCGUCACGCUUAGAUAUUCUUAGAUAUGGAUAAAGGAAGUCCAACUAUGUAGUAGAUACCCAGAAACCUUUCAAGACAGAAGAGUAUAAAGACAAAGAAAGAUGAGAAACAUUUAUCAAUAUCAUGUACCUAAUAUUAUCACAAGGAAAUGGAAAGAUUCAAACAAACAAAGCAAAUGAGAUAUGUUUCCUCAAACAAUAUCUUGACCAUAACUAUCCUGAUUUGUAUCAGUAGCAGCAUUUUUAUUCAUAAUACUACCACCAGACAAUAACAUCAAAAUGACCAUUAACAUGAAAAAUAAUAGAAAUAAUUACAGCCCAAUAGCUAUUCUUGGCAUCAUUGGCAAGCUAUAGUUGGCACUUUCUUUUCUUUUUUUUUGAUAUUUAUAGCAUUGAGGAAAUACUGGACAUAUAGUAACCCGUUCAGAUCAACUAAGAAACAGAUGAUGGAGAAAAAAAAUGAAUUAACAGAAAUUAACAGAAGGAAACAAGUAUUUUUUAUCAAGAUGGAACAGAAUGGUGCUAGUUUUUUCUUUUCUCUUUUUCUUUCUUUUCUUCUUUUUUGAGAGAGAAAAGUUAUAGUGAUUAAAAUGAACAAGUUACAAGCUAGUCAAACUAGUUAUUCAUCAUAGAUGAAUUGAUGAAAUAAUCAAAUCAACUAAAUUAAUCGUUUUUCUUCAAAAAACAAACAAAUUUAAUCAUAAGAAUGUCAAGAUAAAAAAGAAAAAAUUUGGAUUUUAUGCUAGGAAUCAAACCCAACAAACUGAAUGAAUCAAUAAAAAAAAGUUCAAAAUCAACAAAACAAAAUGCGGGCUUUCAUCAAUAAAUAAACUAACAGAGAAAGAAACCAAAAUGAAUCAAUAUGAGUUUGUGGGUUUUCAUAAGAGCUCACCAGGAGGCCAGAAAUUGCAGUCCAAUGGCAAAGCGGCUCAACCCCUUCAUCAGAGAAGAGAUUUUGCCUGAGAAAAAGCUUCUUCAGCUGCCUUAGCUGCCCAAUUCGGGGAUCCAGUGAAGAUAAACGAUUUGCAGUCAAGUCAAGCUCUACAAGAGACGAUGGGAGUUCGACUCCCUGUAAGUCAUGGAGUUGAAAGCUUGUAAGAUCAAGGUAGUUGGCCGAAUCAAUACUAUCUUCGGGUGCUUCUUCCGUUUUUGCUCCAUUGUUCAAUACCUCCUCUGCUUUUGCCCCAUUACUGGGAGCCUCUUCUGGGUUAUCUGCCAUUUGAAAGGAGACUAGAGAGAUGGGAAUUGGGGUUUGGAUAGAAGAGAGAGAAUGAAAGGAGAAGAGUGAAAUAUGGGGAUUGAGAGAGAGAGGGAAAAAAGAAUAGAGACUUCAGGAGUUGGAAAAGUAUAAGUGCACAGAGAAAAUCAUCCAAAAAGGGCAAUGAAAGAAAAGGGCGAGAUUUGAAGAGAAGUUGGGUAAAAACCAACAUGCGUUUGUGCUCUCUCCUUUGAGCAAGCUUUCUAUGAUUCCCCUAGAAAGUUAUAUCCUCCUUUAUCCAACCGUCCAUUUUGAAUGGAGGGUUAAGAUUGUUUCAAUCACAAUGACAAUUCUCUACACUACUUUAUUUUUAAAUUUUUUUCUAUAAACUAUUUUGAUACCAAAUUUUGGACGUUCAAUCUUCUAUUAAACUCGAACUAGCCAAAAAUAUAAAAAAAAACAUUUUCGAUAGUCACUAAAAUACCUUUAAAAGUUUUAAGUGGUAUUUUGAUCAUUAUAUUUUAUCAAAAAAUUAUUUUUAAUAAGUGCAUCCCAAUGAAAAGAUGGCACUUAUCAAAUUUCAUAUGCAUACAAUUUUUAUAAAAAAAAACUAAAAAAAAAAUACUUUGAGAUAUCGUAUCUAAUAUCAAAUGAUAAGUGGCUCUCUUGAUAAAAAAUUGGACGGCUAGAUGAUAGGGGAAGGAUAGAACUUCUAUGAUGUAGAAACCUUUCCCCUCUCCUUCUCUCCCUCCUUAGAGAAAUUGGGCAAAAAUUAAGAGAAGAGGUUUUUAUAAAGCCUAGGCUUGAAAAUCAAAUAAAGUCUCACCUCAAAUCCUUGUUUGGAAAGCACUUUUGGCCACAUAAAUAUUCAUAAUGGUUCUAGAAUCAAUUUUUAACACCACAAUAAAAUUUGAAACUCAAAAAAUUACUGAUUUUGCGGAUCUUUGAACACUUAUUUUUAGGGAGAAAUAAAUAGUCUAGAUAAUUUGUUAAAAUAUACACUAUUUUUUAAAGUUUGAAGUUCUAAUUUUUUCAUAGUCAUAAUGUUCAAGUCGAGAUGAUCCAUGCAAAGAUUUUCCAAUGCUUGGGUUACAAUUUUCAAUAAGUUAUUAGGUGAGGCUUUCCUUAUUUUGAUGGAACUACUGCCCUAUCAAACCAUUUUCCAAAAUUACGAUGCCUUUAUGAAGCCCCUCUCUCUCCCUCUCUGUUUGGAAAUAAUGAAAGAACCAAGAUAGUUUCUCUGUAAGAUAAUCUUUAAUAAGAAUUGAAAAAGAGAAAGUAUAGAAUGAGACCAUUUACAUUUGAUACAAAGUUAUCACAUUAAUUUUGACUAUUGAAUGGGAAAUUGGGUGGCUACAAUUAUUCUAUGGAUUAAACAUAAAUUUCAAAAAAAAAAAUUUCGAACUUUGUAAUUAUAUAAUUAUAAUAAAUUAUGACCACCUUGUAAUUAUAAAGAGUGGCAUUCUCCAUUAGACUCUGACCUCUCAAGCGAAACAGAGAUGAGGCUUAAGUCAAGGAAAGACACCUCUCAACACAAAACCAAUUGUAAAAUAAGGCCUACAAAUUUUAAAAACACCAUUUUUCCCAACUAACUGGGGUUGCAUAAUAUCAUAUUAUUCUCUAAUCCUACGACAAGGUCACAUUCUUAGCCAUCAAAUUUCAAAGCAAGCAACUGAAGUUAUAUUACAAAAGUUCAAAAGAGAAAUUCGACUUUUUAAUGAAAAAUUCUUAUAGUGAGCUCUUUAUACCAAAAGUAAAUGGCCUUAGAGCAUGCCUUUCCUUUCAUUUCCUAUUGAAAUAUCUGCUCCAUUGCAUGAGACCUUACCAAACACUAACCCAUUGACCAAUCUAGGAGCUUUAUGAGGUAAUGCACUUUAAUGCAUCAGCAGUGAAAAAGGUUUGACAAAUUUCAACUAAGAAACAUGAUAAGAGAGAGAAUAAGAAUGUUCCCCAAAGAACUCCACCUAAGGAAACCAAGAAAGCUAAUCACAUGACAAUUGCAUUGAAUCAAAAUCUCUCUCACACAAAUUAAAUCAUAACAACAAACCCUGGAGAGGAUCUCACCUUCCGUUGGCGAUUACAAAUGCCAUCUCUCUAUCUCUCUCUCCUUAUAACUGGAACAUGAAUUUGCACCUCCCGCCCCCACCACACACUCAAUAUCUAACAUACAUAUACAUUUUAUAUCUGCUUGCUUUAACCUCAAAUUCCCCCACCCACCCCCCCCCCCCUUCCCGUCUCCUUUUCUCACGAACAUGCACACACACACACAUCAUCUGAAGGCAAAAUUUAAGUUAACAGAUCCAAUCCAAAAAGAUUAGGGAGAGGCCUCAUCAAUGGGUGCCCAGAAAUUGCACUCAUUCAGAUGCCAAACAUUAAAUCCAUAAUUUUUGAGACGACCGACUUUGAAGGCGAAGCAAUUGCCCCGGCAUUACGCUGAUUUCCAUCUUGUGACUGUAAAUAAUAAGGUCGGGACGAGGCCCUCAAAAAGCUCAGAGUUGAGCUCCUACUUGAAGAGUGAGGGGGCACAACCAUAAAGGCAUGGUUUAUGGGCUUCUGACUUAGAGCUUGCCUCUGAACGGGGUCCAAUAGCUUCACCCCAACAAUAAGCAAUCCAUUUAUCUGCAUUCCAUUUUUCGCAAGAGCUUUCUGGGCAUCAAAUCGGUUCUGUGAGAGAGAAAGAGAGAGAACAGCAUCAACACCAAUAUACAGCAUGCAAUUUCUGAAUACAAUUAUAUCUUAGAGAUCAGGGGCAGUUCACAUACAAAGAAAUCUUGGAAGAAAUCAACUAAGCUCAAAUUAAAAGUAAGCAAGCAAUUCUAACAUACUGUAUAUGCCCCCCCCCACACAUAUAUAUAUAUACAUGUACAUACAUGUAGAUCUUAUGCGAAGUACAUGGACCCAACAAAUGUUCUCCCAUAAGGACAAAUAAUACUGGCUGAAUUACUUGAGGUAGCCAAUGUACGCUGCGUAACUUUCAACAAACUUAAGCAACAUGAUUGAAGAAACAUAUAUCAAGUGAAACUGCUCAGUUAUUUUAGGAGGAACUGUAGUUAUCGUAUCAAGAACCAGGCACUUAUUCUUAUCGAACCUAUCUAACAACAAAACCACACCAAUAAUAUUAUUUUCUUCUUUUUUCUCUAAUCAAUUGUUUGUCAGAAGAAGCCCCAACAUUGGAUGGUAUUGUAACUCAACAUGAACAUAGGGGAUCACUUAUAAUGAUUCAGCCAUCCUCAUCACAGGGCGUGCUAAACAACAACAUGAACAGACCACUUUUGACAGAGGUCUCUUUUUUAGGCUAUGAAUAAAUGUUAACAUCAUGGAUCGGUGUUUUUCCAUAUCACAAAUUAAUAAGUGGGAAAAACAGUAUCAUGAAUUAGGAAUCAAUAGCUUGUACUAUCAUUGGAUUGCUAUGCGUGUCUAAAAUAACAUGGCUAAUCAUGUAAAGAUAAUUAUACUGCUCCUUUUCCAUCAUUACAUGACAUAUUGUAUAAGCAUGUGCAGUGACGCAAGCAGAAAAGUUUAAACAAAUAUUAUUUGAUGAUAAGCAUAUGGUGACAAUAGUGGAUCCCCUUUGUCUUUCUAGAUUUAGCGCUUAAUAAAGAGUAUGAUAAGCUAUCUUGAUAGACAACAAAAACUGCCAUUGAAUGGUCAUAUGAAUUUCGCAGGUGUGCAACUUAGGUAGUCCUGGUAAAUUACUAGAGAGCGAGAAAGAGUACAGUCCUGCUAAAUUAGUAGAGAGAUAGCACAGUCCUGCUAAUUAGUAGAGAGAGUACAUCUCUAGAGGAACAACAUUGAAACAUAAUGAACGACGUCAUUCAGCCUAUUGCUAACAAUGAAAAUAUGGUUGUUGUACAUGUGAACUUAUUAUUGCACUAGUAGACAACAAACUACUUUCAAACACAUCUCAUUUCUUGAUUUUUCACCAAAAUAAUGUGCAAGAAAUGAAAAAUGUUGGAAUUUUAUAUUUUGAAUGGCUUUCCUCUAAAGCCAUGCAUCAAACACAUGCAGAAGUUUUCUUUCAUAAGUUAAGUUUAACACAUAAAAAGGCAUAAGUAAAGGUUUAGAUGAGACUAGGUAUCCCCCCGAGUGCAAGUGAAGUUGUCGCACAAGCAAAGCUUACCACCAUCGAAACAAGUUUAGAAAUUAUAGGGACGCCAAUGGGACUCUGACAGCAGGGCACAUAGGAAUCUAAAUCAAACAAAAGAAUGAUUCGAAACUUAGAUAAGUGAUAGAUUCAGGGUUGCAGUUACUAUUUGCCUUGAGUAACCAUAGGUAUAUUUCUUGUUAGGGACAACAAAAUGAAUCAACCAACUCCAUAUUUUAGACCUAAAUCUAAUUAAUGUUAGUGAACUACCUCCAUACUCAAUGGUAAAGCUCCAGAAUAUAUUUAAGGAAAAUGCAUUACUCAAGGAAAAGGGCAAAGGAGGGUGCAAUUGCAAGACUCUCUGAGUGUGAAAUUUGAAAAUAGAUGAGGUUAGGGAUUUGAACUCCAUAUGCAUGGGAUGUAGUAUUGCAAGAUUGGAAGCAAAAAAAAUAAACAAUUUCUAAGAUCAGUGAAUUUUUUCCAAUAGUUGCAAUAGUUUGAAAAUGGAGGUAAACACUUUGAAUGAAAAAGACAGGAUCAACAGUUCAUACUUUUCAAUAUUUUUAACUCAUAAGGUCUGAGAACAACAAAACAGCAAUUAGCAUCCCAUUAGAAGUAUGUCAAACCAUCACAAUACUCUUAGCCAUUAAACAUAAGCGGAGACUGCAGAUAAAUUAAAGGAGUAUCAGUGAAAAGAAUAUGGAGACAAGUAUGGUAUAAAAACAAUGGUACCAUUGGAUGCUUAUGAGUGAGAAUAUUCGAUCACGAUCAUUUACGAUGUUAUCAUUUUUGAUAAUAUGCAAUAAUUACAUCACGAUUACCCUUGAGAUCAAAGCAAUAAUCUACCUAUAUGGAGGACAAAAUGAUAACCUGAUAUAGGAUGUGCAUCCAAUUAGCAUCUCUUGGACCUGGUACAUGCUUCAAUAUUAUGCCACACUUUUCAAACUCCUGUAGAACUAAAUUGGUAUCUCCAGGGGAAAAACUGAAAAAAAACAAGAAUGAAUAGAGAACAUGAAUGAGGCAUAUCAGGUCCAUAAUAGUUUGUAUUCAAUUCAAAUCUAUUGAAAUAUUACUUCAUCAAACUUUCCAAAGAGUAGGAAGUGACACAGUUAACAGGGGGGGAACUUAGCUCAUAGAAUUAUCCAAGAACAAGAAUGUAAUAGAUGGUGAUAGGAAGGGAAAUGAGUUAGGAUACAAGGAAACGUCCAAAUAACUAGCAAAUAAAUGCAUGGCCAGCAUCAUUAAAAAAAAAAUAUUCAUAGAUGCAUUUGAAGCACAAUGGCCAACAAAUGCCUAGAAACCAAAUAUCAUUAAAGAGUGCAUAUUGCACCCUAAUAUCAUAAUAUUCCAGAAUAAUAUAGAAUCUAUUGUAAUCUUAAUUAUGUUAGUUCACGUGCAAUCUUUUUUUUUUUUUUUGGUAAUUUAGUGGGGAAGACAGACCCCUACCCGUUUUUUAUGUGCAACGUUUGAUAGGGUAAAAUCAUAUCUUGAAAUAUCCAAAAUUCCAAAUAGCCCCCUAAAUAUCUAAUCCCAAAAAAUUCCAACUUACAGUUGAAUUUUGCGGGAUUGAACCUCUCCAUCAUUUUUUUUUUAUUUUUUUGCAUCCUCCCUCCCUCCUGGAAUUCUUAAAAACCCUUCUCCUGUCUCAGUGCCAACCUACUUUCUGUUGCAUUCUUUGGAUUGGAGUAAAUGGUUAUGGUUUGUUUCAGAAUUUGUCUGGUUUGUGACUUUCUACUGGUUAGAAACCCAAAUCUAUGAAUAAAGGGAACUCGAGAUCAUUCCGUAGUCUUUUGCAAGGCAGAUUUUCGGGCCUAUUAUAAAAUCUUCAUCAGCUUCUGCACAACUAGUUUCUAAGGGUGAAGUCCUUGAUACCGUCCCAAAACUUUGUUCAUCUGCAAUUUCUAAAGAAAAAGCAACAGUGUUCUCCUUGUCCUAAAUAACAUCAAAAAAGCCUUUCCCAUGGGUUAUGAGAGUUCGCCAUGCCCUUAAUGUGGGAACCCUCAUAAACUAUGGCUUUAAUGGUAUUUGUAGAGAGAGCAAAACUGUAAUGGUUUUGAAGCUACAUCGAGAUGUGAAAGGAAGAGGGCUUUCUCUUACUACAAUAAGCAAAUGUUCUCUCUCCCCAUUGUGUUGUGCUUCUAUGAAAUUGUUAAUUAUUGUGCAUAAUACAGACAGGCAGUCAAACAUGUAUAAAAAUAUAAAAUUCAUAUAUAUAUAUGAAGCUAGGUAACAUCUUUAUUCAAAUUUCUAAAAAUUUGAAUAUUCAAAUCUUGUUUUGGCAAACAUGCCCUAAAGAAAUGCUUGGAAAAGGAAUGACACGGGGAACUUGAAGAAACAGGAUGACAAAAUACAUGACAAACCUAGACAAUUUGCCAAGUAAACAGAUUUCUUACAAGCUGGGGAGAAAAGAAGAUGAUGAUUCACAAAACGGCUCAAUGGAAAUAAAUUUGCCACUCAUUAUCAAUAAUAAAGUUCCGGCCAAUAAUGGAAUAACUAAAAUGGAUCUUGAAUAAGAGCUAAUAGCAAACAUGCACUCAUGCAAAGCAAAAUCAAUAAUUAGUAGAAAUGCUUUUUACUUGGCUUGGCCGCAGAACUCGGCCACCGCCCUGGCCGAGUUACUCAGAAGAGUCGGAGUUUACGUGCUCAAGUCCGCACCAAGCUCAAAAAUGGAAAAGAGAAAGUUAUAGAAAAUAAGGAAAAUUAUUUAAAAACCAGUUAAAAUAGGAAAAAAGUAAAUUAAUAAACAAUAGAAAUGCAUGUAGAAGACAACAAGAAGUUCUCUGAAAGUAAAAAAAUGAAAAACCAUCUGAACAUCAUUUCUGUCGGAAAAAUGACAAAAUAUAGAGAAACUAAGAAGAAUAUCUUUAGAAAAAUAUAAAACCCUAAAAUAAACAGAAGUACAUCUAAGUCAUUUAUACUUGAUUCAAUCAAACAUUAAAUCAAUUAUAAACUAACUCUACUCAUAUUACUAUAAAACUAUAAAAUGAUUUAAACAUUUAAUUGUGCUAAAUUUCAAAGUGUAGUAGUGAACAAAGCAUACCCAAAAACUGUAACCCAUUCUUCCUCAGCCAAAUCACCAACAGGCACAGUAUUCCUCUGCAAUUCAGGCCUCGCAACCUCUCUAGGGGGUGGAAGAGUAAGCAAAGCAACAGUUUGUUGUUGUACUUCAACAACACCAGUAACAGGUGAACCCCUCCCCUUCUCCACUCCAUUAAUGACCUCUUUUGGAGGUGACCACCAACCAGAACCAGGUGUCAUGGCAUAUGAACUGGUGGCCUCGGGUGACCCAUGUAUCAUUUUGCCCUUCAUUGAAGAGAGGUUUGGGGUAUGCUCCAGCGACCCAUUUACCAUUUUGCCCCUCAUUGGAGAGGGAGAAUCUCGACCAGAGGACCUGAAUUCGGGUGAGGUUGGGUAAUCGACGAUGCUUGGUUCCGGUGAAAAUUCAACUCGAUCAUCAAGGGUAAAAAGCGGCGGAGGGGGAGGGUCAGCACCCCCGAAAUUUUCUUUCCAUAGAGCUGAAACGGCAGCUGCUUGCCCAGGGGUGGAGAAUCUCCCCCUUUGAGUGGAUAUGGGAGAAGCCAAGUCCUUGAACAACAAGGAUUGCUUUCCAGUUUUUGUACUUCUUUGAGCUGAAGCACUCAUUUUUUUCUCUCUAGGUUUUGCAGGGUUUAAGGUAUAUUUAGGGGAACGAAUUCUGAUUUCAGUGUGAUUGCAAUGGUGGGACUGUUUCUUAGGUUUUGGGAGUUUGCUUCUACGCUAUUUGAGCAAAAUAGAGACCAUGGAAAGUGAAGCGAGUACGCUAGGGCAAAGAUGACAACACCUUGGAGAGAAUUCAGUAUGGAUAUGUCUUGAAAUGGGGAGGAAACUAGGGCAAAGCUGAGAAAGUAAAUGACCUUUGAGAUAAUUGAGUAUGACAAUUUCUUGAAAUGGCAAAGCUGAUAUGAUGAUUGAGAAACUUGGAUAUGACGAUUCGUGUAAGUAAACAACGCCUUUAACUGAAACAGAUGCAGAACAGAGAUGGAGAAAAUGAAGAAUGUAAUGUGAGAAAGUGGGGGAUGAAGAGCUCAAUACCUGACUGUUUAUGUCCAACUAGUCCUUCAAAAAAUGAAAUAGACCCCGUAACUGAAAGUGAUGAGAUAGAGACCACAGAAUACCUCUACACUCGUACAAAACUCAAGCUUGCAAGACGAAUCAAAGCCAGAGAGAGCAAUUCAGGUUGAAAAAACAAGAUUACCAGAAACAAAACCCUGGGAGAGAGAGAGAGAGAGAGAGGGGGGUGGGGUAGGGGGGUAUAAUAGAAUUUGAUUACCGAAACUGUAAGCAAAUGGUGGAAGCUGGUGUAAGGUUUUCAUUGAAAGAGGAGAAUAGCAUUGGAAUUUGAAUUUGAAGUUGCAGAAGACUAGGGUUAGGGUUUUAGAAGUUGAAGAAGAAAAGGGAGGGAUGGACGAAAAUUUGAAAAAGGAAUCUGAGCUCCUUUUUGUUUCCCCCCAAAGUUCUUCUCUCAAAUUUGCGAGGGGAGCAAAACCCUAAUUUCUAUAAAGUAAUGUAGGAAAUUAGGAACUGAGCAACUACUACAAGGAGUGGGAAAACAUCAUUUGUGAUUUGCGGGUUAGGCCCCCACAAAAUAACUAACAAAGGGCGUUAAAACGUCUAAGUGAAUCUACGAGGGUUUUAUUAUAUACUUUUUCUAUCUUAAAAUAUUUGUUAUUAUAUACUUCUCUAUCUUAAAAUACCCCAAAAUAUUUGUUCAGACCCGUAAACAAGGAUAUGUUUUAGGACGCGGUUAGCUUGUGGGCCACGGACUCACAUGUAAAAAUACGGGCCCUUUAAUAAUUAAUUUUUAAAAUAAUAUUUGAUCUUAUUUUUUAAUGAAUAUAUGAUCUUUAAUAUGAUGAUUAUUAAUAUGUAAAAAUAAAUAAAUUUAAAAAACUAAAAGUGAUAUUUUUUUAGAGAAACUAUUUGAACAAUUUAUUUUACUUUUUUUUUUUUUGGAGGAAUGUUAAGGGACUUUGUUUUGGUGGAUGGUGUAAAUCUCUAGCCCGCAUAGUAGCGGGUGCGGGUUUGGCCGCACUAAACAAUUUUCCUGUUUUUUUUAAAGGGUAUGGUUUGUAUAAAGUUGAGGCUUUGAACAAUCAAAAUAAAUAACACAUUCAAAUAGUGUCAAUAAAUGUGAUUUCAAUAUUGGGAAUCUUUGGGAGAACCUUAAGAUACUUUCAUCUUUAAUUAUGAAAUUUAAAGCUUAAAAAAUAGUGUUGAUCGAGUAGUUCUAUGAAAAUCUUGAAAAUUGACGGUCCAAAAAUAUUGUAUUAUUUCCAAAAUUAGAAAUCCAUUUUUUUUUCAUGUCCGUGCAUAUUGAGGUUGAGAUGAUCAAUUUGAGGUCAGUUGAGCAUCAAAGUAACUUCUUUUAGUGAAAUUUUUGACGUUCAUCAUAAUUUGAUUGUUUAAAGCUUCACACUUAUAUAAACUUUUUCUUUUUAAUUAAAAACCAUGAGAUAUAUAUUUGUCAUGGAUCAAAUUACUAAACUGACCCUUCUUAUUCAGAGUUUACCCUAAAUAAAUACUAUUUGAAUAUUUUUAAUACUUUUGUUGAUAAUGUGCCUAAGUUAGCUGGAGUUUAUAAAAUAAAUCCCCUUGUGUUGAUUGGGAUCAUUUGAUCCCUAGGGGUUUGACCACUUAAAAUAAUAUUUUUCAUGUAAUUAGAGAAGAUGAAGCAUAUCUUUAUGAAAACUAAUAAUUGGUGAUUUUCCAUGUUCCCACCAAGACUAUUAUCAUAAUUAUUGAUAAUACUAAUCAAAUAUCAAGUAGUGCUUUCUACAGUUUAGGAAAAAAUUUAUAUAAAUAUGCAACCUUAUAAUGUAGAACUACGAAUGCACCUCAAAAAUCCAUCGGAAAAAGGCAGUUUUUAAUGUUGAAAAACCAUUUGAUUGAUCAUCUCGACAUCGAGAUGUAUGACCAUGAAAAAUAACAAAAUUUUAAGUCUAAAAAAUAAUGCAUUUUACAACAUAUUAUCUAUAUCGUUCAUUUUCAAGAUUUUCAUAUGUUUAUAGAUCUACUUGAUUUUAACCAUUUUUUAAAUUUAAAUUUUUAUAAUUAGAUAUAAAAAUAGAUUUUGAGACAUUCCUAAUAACAUUUUACAUCAAAAUUAAAAACCAUGAUAAAAUUUGAAGGUGCACCUUACCUCUACAGCUACAGAUGCACCUGUAUGCCAACUGCACCCUUAUAGUUAUGAUAUGUUUAUGUGAUACGGUUUAUUUUCUUAGUGGUAAACUCCAUGUCCCAAAUUUAAAAGGUUAUUGGGUCAAAUUGCAACUUGGGCCUAUUUGAAAUGUUUCACUAACGAAUUGCAGUAAUUUGAAAUGUUUCACUAACGAAUUGUAGUAAUUUGACUCUCAUGAGAUGUUUGCUUCACAAAUUUGAAUUGAUCUCCGAUUGUAAUUUAGCUCUUAAGUUGAGUUUUUAGUUUAUGCUUCCGCUUCGGUCAUUGGUCUGGUUAUUCCAACAACUAUUGCCACCACUAACAUUGCACUCCAACACCACCGCCAUGUAGCAAGCACUAUCUUGAUACCUCCACCUGUUUCGCCACAACCAUUGCCAUCUUCCCCACCACUACUACCGCUGCCUAGAGACCACCAACACUACCAUCAUUCCACCAUCCGUGUUGUUUCCAUCAUUGCCAUCACCACCACCAUCACCAUCACCACUUUGCCGCCGCUUUUGUCCAACUUUGCCACCACCACCACUCCACCACCUCCUAACAAUGGCCACCUCCACCACCACUCUACCAUUACCUACAUUGCCGCAACCACGACCACCAGUAUCAACACUCUACCAGCUCCACUACAACCAACAAAAUUACUGUUGUACCACUACUAGGUUGUUGCUGUCACCACCACUACUACUACUGUGAGAACAAGCCAUUUUGGUAUUUAGCAUUGAUUUUAAGAGUUUGAAGGAUUCGAUCCCUUGGAAAAUCAAAUCAAAAUGUCGGUUCCUCUUCGUUCUAGAGUAGGGUACCCUACACCUUGGCCUUGCUCUGAACCUACGGCAGGUGGAGCAUUUUCUUCAUUUAGCUUGGAGUCUUAGGAUUGGUAAUGCUCACUACAACAAAAAUAAUUAUUGCCCAAUGCUGUAGAGCAUAUACAAUGCCAUGUAGCUUGAUUGGGUUGGGUUGAAUUGGCCACUUGAUCACUACUGCCUGUUUGGAAUUAUGAACCAGUAUUUAAUUAAAGAAAUGUACAUUGUGGGAUUACUUAUUUUCGGUGUAAGGAGGUCACAAUUAUUAUUGAUCAUUAAAUGUAAAAUCAGGUGAUUGGAGAUGUAUCAUUGAUUGCACACAAAGUCUAAAAAGAGUUUUUUGAAAGUUAUAAUACACUCAAAUCUAUCGCAUUCACAUUCAAUGCUAAGAGUGAUUAUGACCUAUUUGUACCGAAAUAAAAUUAACUUGUAGUAUACAAUCACGUUAGUCUAUCCAAAAAAGCUAGUAGUUGGGUGGACCCCAUCCAAUAGUGUUAGGAUUGAUCCAUCCUUGAUCAAUCUAAAACAAUCCAAUCCAAACUAUGUCAAAUCUACUCAAUUGCACAUGGACCGACAUGACUUGAAUUAGGGUUGACAUACAUGCACUAUCUUGGAUUGAACACACGCAUACUUACCCAAGCCAGACCAAGAUUAGGCCCAAGUCAAGUGGACCUAGAUCGACCACUAGGUCCAAACCAACUACCUUCUCUCUAAAAUUUUAGCCUAUGAAAGAUCUACCGUAUUUAAAUGCAAUAUGAACCUAAGUGUGGCUUUAUCUAUAAACGAAAAAUAAAUACAGCCAUAAUAGCACUUAUGCACCAGAUCACAUCAUAACUCUAAACUUAAACACAAUUUAUAUAAGAAAAAAAGCUUGAUUUUAAGUGGUAAUUUAUUGACACUAGCAACACUACAUAUUAAUUUCCAUGAUAACAUACAAGGAGCAAUAGUGGAUUUGAAAGCACUUAAACGGAAUCAGAAUAUGUUUCAGGCAGUUCAAUGAAAAUUUUCCUCUCUCCUCUCUCUAUAAGUUCGAACACAGUUUUCUACCCCCGCUGAGCUUCCAAGCUCCGGCACUUGCAGAGGAAACUCUCUCUCUCUAAAAAUAUAUUUGUUAUUGCACUCUCUUUCUAAAAAUAUAUUUGUUAUUGCACUCUACCCUCUCUUUAAAAAUCUCUUUGUUGUUGCUCUCUCUCGAGAAAUAUUCGCGGUCCUCUUUCAUGCUCAACAACAUUUCACUCGGGGUUAGUCUGAUCCCUCAGGGAUAUUGUUUCCGAGAUGUGUUUCAGUUCAUCUUCUUUACUAUAAACCUCAGCGAGAAAUUAUCGAGCAUUCGUCUUUAUCUUUCUCUCUCUAGGAAAUUUACAGUUAAUGCAAUCAACUUUGAUGCUCAAUACUUCACCCAGAGCCCAAGUUCUUCUCCGCCAAACUCUGUGUCUCCAAAACGGGUUACGCUUCAUUUCUUCGACUCUGAGCUUUAGAGAGAGACCAAGAAGAGUUCUGAAUUCUAGAGAGAGAAAUAGAGAAAUAACCAUCCAGGACCUGCACAAAUCAUGUGAAGAAGGUCACAUGAGAGUGGCUGUUAAAAUACUAGGAAUCCUUGGAAAGCAGGGAAUAAGACCAGAUUACGGAACCUACGCAAAACUUCUAAAUAGGUGUAUCAGUAUGAAGGCUUUAUCAGAAGGAAAGGCCAUUCACCAUCACAUGCUGAGUAGUGCUAUAAAACUGGAUGUACAUUUCAGAAACCUUUUAAUCACUAUGUACAGUAAAUGUGGUUUCUUUAAUGGUGCACAAAGAGUGUUUGAGAAAAUGCCUGAAAAAAAUGUGAUUUCUUGGACCUCUGUGAUUUCUGGUUUGGCUCAGAGUGGAAAGAGAAACCAAGCGUUGGAUCAUUUUUGUUUGAUGAGGAGAGAAGGGGUUAGGCCAAAUGAGACUACUUUCGCAACUGUAAUGGGGUUGUGUUCGUUAAUGGAGAGGCUUGACUUUGGGAUGAGUUUGCAUUGUCUUUCUGUCAAAUAUGGCCUCUUUCUUGAUGUUUUCAUAGGUAGUGGGAUCAUCGUUUUGUACACUAGAUGUGGCUUCAUUCAAAAUGCUCAGAAAGUCUUUGACGAGAUGCCAGUGAGAGAUGUGGUAUCUUGGAAUGCUAUGAUUUCUGGGUAUUCACAAAAUGGGUUUCACAAAGAAGCAAUUUCUAUGCUUUCUCAGAUGUUAUUAAGCGAUACCCAAUUGAAUAAUUUUACAGUGGCUAGUGUUCUCAAGGCUUGUGGUGGUAUCGGGUUUCACAUAAUCGGUGAGUCCAUUCAUGGCUGCAUUGUGAAACUUGGGUUUGAUUGGGAUGUGUUUGUAUGUGGGUCUCUUAUCGAUAUGUAUGCAAAGUGUAGCUUUUUGGAGGAAGCUCGAGUGGUUUUUGAUACCAUGGAUUUUAGGGAUCUUGUUUCUUGGAAUACCAUGAUCACUGGAUAUGCUCAGAAUGAUCUUGGAGAAGAGGCUUUAGAGCUUUUCUCACGGUUACAAAUUGAAGGAUUUGUGCCUAACCAGUUCACAUAUGCCAGCAUUUUCAAAGCUUUGGCUGGAAUUGGUGAUGGUCAUGGCUAUGGCAGGUGCUUCCAUGCUCAAGUGAUCAAGACUGGAUGGUUAUCAUCGGAUGUAUUUGUAGGCACUGCCCUUGUGGACAUGUAUGCCAAAAGUUCUGACAUGAUAGAUGCACAUAGGGUUUUUGAAGAGAUGAGGAAAAGGAACCUUGUAUCAUGCAACACUCUCAUUACUGGUUAUAGUUUAACCGGUUCUUACAAAGAGGCCAUUGGAGUCUACUGCAAGUUGAGAAGAGAACCCAUGAGGCCCGACCCAUUUACUUUCACUGGCCUUCUCUCUUCUUGCUCUAUGUCCAAGGCCAUAGUUGAUGGGGUUCAGAUCCAUGACCAUGUUAUCAAGUUUGGUUUUGAUUCACAUGUAUCGGUAGGGAAUUCUCUAGUCGACCUCUAUUCUAAGUGUGGCCAAAUGGAAAAUGCUUCAAAGGCUUAUCGCUCAAUAGCCACUCCAAAUGCCAUUUCUUGGGCUGCGAUCAUUUCAGGUUUUAGUCAAAAUGGUCAGGAAGAAAACGCCCUAAAAUUAUUUCGGGAAAUGCAUCAACUCUCACAAGACCCUGAUGAGUUCAUCUUUACCAGUGUUCUCAAAGCAUCAGCUAGUUGUGCUGCAAUGGAACAAGGGAAGCACAUCCAUGCUUAUGUGAUCAAAUUAGGGUUAGAGUCUACUGUCUUUGUUGGAAGUGCACUGGUUGACAUGUAUUCUAAAUGUGGGAAAUUGGAAUAUUCAUGCAAGGUUUUCGAGAGAAUGCCCGAGAAGAAUGUUGUCUCUUGGAAUGCCAUAAUAAUGGGUUAUGCUCAGCAUGGACUGGGUCAACAUUCUCUUCGAAUAUUUGAAGAAAUGCAACACCUUAAUGUAAAACCCACCUCCAUAACCUUCAUUGGCAUCCUCUUUGCUUGUAGUCAUAUAGGUCUUGUCGAUAAAGGGUGGCAAUAUUUCAAUCUUAUGACCAACUACUAUGGAAUCACACCCACUAUUGAGCAUUACACAUGUAUGGUUGACCUUCUUGGACGAGCUGGGUAUUUAGAUGAAUCUGAAGCCUUUUUAGAGAAUUCCCCAUAUAAAUCAGAAGCUGCUAUUUGGAGGUCCCUUCUUGCUUCAUGUCGAAUCCAUGGGAACAUAGAGGUUGGGGUUAGAGCUGCCAAUCAUUGUAUGGCAUUAGAACCGGAUGAGUCUUCAAAUUAUGUGCUUUUAUCUAACAUUUAUGCUUCAAAAAAGAUGUGGGGUGAUGCCGCAUUCAUACGGAGCUUGAUGGCAGAGAGGGGUGUUGAGAAGGAGCCAGGGUGUAGCUGGAUUGAGGCUCAAGACAAGGUUCACGUGUUUGUUUCAGAAGAUAGAGCACACCUAUUAAAGGAGAAGAUAUUUGAGAAGUUGGAUAACUUGGUGACGCAGAUGAAAUUGGCUGGUUAUGUCCCAGAUACAAGCUUUGUGCUUCAUGAUGUGGAUGAAAAGCAAAAGGAAUAUCGGCUUCUUCAUCACAGUGAGAAGAUGGCUGUUGCUUUUGGACUGAUGUCCACUCCAUGUGGUACACCCAUAAGGAUAGUCAAGAAUCUCAGAGUAUGUGGAGAUUGUCACAAUGCUCUGAAGUAUGCAUCUUUGGUUACAGAAAGAGAAAUCAUAGUGAGAGAUACAAAUAGAUUCCAUCACUUCAAGAAUGGUGUGUGCUCUUGUGGGGAUUAUUGGUGAAUUGUAUGUUCUUUUCCUUCAUGAGAUCAGUGACGGUUCAAUCACCCGAUCAACAGAUGGCAACAAAGUUGUUUACUGGGCUUUCGUCCAGCAGCAAUGGACCUAUUGAUGGUCACAUGCAAUUAACUGACGAAAAUAAUAAUUUGGUAAGUGAAUUUUUUAACGGAUUUUAACAAUUUCUGACCCUUUGAUGGUCCAUUUUUUGUAAUUGUAUUUAAUUUUCCUUCUCCUCACCCCCUGCUUUUUUGGUACUCUUAGCACCUGUUUCUGGGAUGCCUGUAUACAUUUUAUGUAAAUUCGCUUUUGACUAAUAUACAAAGUUAACAGUUCUCAAAUGUUUUUUUUAAACGGAUUUGUAUACUUAUUGAUGAAUUUAAUUAGUCACUAUUUUCGAAUUUAUUCUUUAGGUCACAUGUUUUGGUUACAUUAAAUAUGAAUUUGGAAAUUCAUGGGUCUGGAAAUAGGAUAUGUUUUAAUGAAGAUAUUUAGUGACUAUAUUAUUCUCUUGGGAACUUUAGGAUCUCCAGAACAGUCAGUUGGGGAAGUCAUUGCAGUUAAAUGUAGCUGUAUUCUUUUCUAGAUACUUACUCUUGGGGACAAGUUGUGGAGGAAAAGUGGAUGUUUUUUCCAAAAUUUUAUUUAUCUUUGUUAUAAAAAGUAUGAGCAUCAUCUGAAAAUUGGUGCAUUCUUUUAGGAUCAUUGGCGAUAUGUUUCUCGCCCUCUCCUUAUAUCAGAGCAAAGAGAAUACAUAUACAUAGCUGAUGAAGUGAACUUUCACCUUCUGUCAACCAGAAUAACUGAUGAAGAGGACUGAGCUUGGAUACAAGGUGUGGACAUAUCUAUUCUAGAAGUUCCUGCAAGAUAAAGUAUAAUUUUUCCCAGGCAUAUCAAAUCUUUUGCAUUUAGUGGUUCUCUGCUUCCCUACAUCCAUUUAGAUAUUCUUGCAUGCAUAUUACCUUUCAAAAGAAAAAGUAGUUCCUCUUUGCAUAUUAUUAAAUUUUCAUGUAUCAUCAUCAUCAUCAUCAGUCUUUUCCCAAUUAUUUGGGGUCGACUAUAUGAAUCCUGGUCUGCCAUUCUAGUCAAUCAAUGGUCAUUACCCUCAGUGAGGCCAUACGUCCCCAUAUUGUUUCUCACUACUGCCAACUAUAUCUUUUUGGGCCUAUCCCUUGUCCUUUUUGAGCUUUCUACUUGAACCAACUCACACAUGCCUAGCCUACAAGUGUUGUAUUGGGUUUGCGCUGCACAUACCUAGCCCACCGAAGUCUACAUUAUCUCAUCUUAUUGCUUAUUAGAUCCGCAUCUAAGUUAUUUAUUUUGAAUUCUAUCCCUUCUUGUCUUUUUAUCAUCUAUCUCAACAUCCUCAUCUCAGCUCCACUCAUCCUAUGGGUAUGUUGUUUCUUGAGUGCCCAACAUUUUGCCCCAUAAAGCAACACUGGUCUUAAGCUGUCCAAUAGAACUUAUUUUUCAGCUUCAUUGGUAUGCGGCGAUCACAUAAAACUCCAGUUGCACAUCUCCAUCUCGCCCACCCAACUCUAGUUCUAUGUGCGACUUCUUCCUUAAUCUUGCUAUUUUUCUGGAUUAUCGACCAAGAUAUAGAAAAUGCGGUUUUUUUGGUAUUUCUUGGCUGUCAAUGUUAAGUACUUUCUCAUCUCUAUUCCUAUUAUUACUAAACUUACAUUUUCAUAUACACCCACAUAACUUCACCAAAUAGAGCACCUCACUAAGAACUGUGGAGCCACCACAUCCCUAAAGCUUCACUAUUCUUUAGCAAAGUACUAAAUGAGGGGUGGCCCCAUGCUUUUUCGUGGUGCUCUAGUUUAUAUGUAGGUGUUGGUGGGAGGGGCAAAUUAUUGAGUCUCCACAAGAAGUGCGAGGGGCGACGGUAUGCGUUUUUAAUUAUAUUGCCCCUUUUAAUUUGCAAAUAUAAGAACUAGAGAAUGCAACAAUGAGAUGCUUACUUGACCCAUUUUGUCUCUUUUCAAUUUGACCAGAAAUUUUAUAUUUCUUUGCUAUUUCUAUAUUGGCUUUCUAGCUCUCUUUUUGUUAUCUAAAUUUCUUUUUCUAUAUUAUAAUACCCAAAUUUUGGGCGCGAACAAUUUUCACUUGUUAAUGACACAUUUAUACACAUUCAAUAUUCUGAUUGCCAUUUUUAAAGCGGUUGCCGAUUUAAAUGGAAUUUACUUAGUCAGGUUCUUUUGUAGACUAAUUUUGUCUCAUUUGUUUGAUUAUAACAUUUUGGCUUUGAAUUCUGGCCAGUGGGAUGAUGCAGGAGUAUACAUUUAUGAAGGUUUGAGAAAUUUUGAUGCAGUGAAAAGCACACAAAACAUAAUGCUGUGAAAUAUAGAGGUUAAGUAUUGUUGGCUUACCGACUGUAAAAGGUAGGUACAAACUAAUUAAUUCUGUCUAAUUCAUGCUAUUUGUUUAAUUAUUGGCUGCAAAACAAUAAUUAUAUAAAUUGACUAAUCUAUUCAUUUCAGGAGUCAAAAACUACAAGUUCAAUGGCCUUUUUUUUUUUUUUGACAUGACGAUUAUUGUCUUUGUCAUGGGGAAGUGAAUUCUGGUGUUCGUACAAGUUGUCUUUAGAAUGUUAAACUCUCAUUCUAUUUUAUUACAUUAUUGUUUGAGUAUUAUAUUUUGGUUUCCAUCAGAGCAUAAUAUAUUGUAGUCUUCAUGUUUCAGAUGAAACAAUGCAUCUUUGUGUUUGAGGCAUGCUAUAUGUUGGGCUUUCUUGGGUUACGUUUAAUUGUGUUUGGAGGGUUUGAGAAUAUCUCUUGAGAUAUCCUUGGCUUUUAACUUUAAUAUCAUAGUUCACCAGCUGUGGGGCGACUUUGCAUGGUUAGAUUUCUAAUGACAAAAACUUGUGAUUCCUAUUGACAAAACCUUGUGACUCGGUUUCUACACCAACUUUUGCCUCCCCCUAGAGUGAGUCUCCACCUUUAUUUAUUUAAUUAUUUGAUACUGAAAAGUUCCUGUAUGUGUCAUGAAAUGAUUGAAUGUUUUCCUUCUUGAGUUGCUCAUGUGCCAAUUGGAUUUGUUUUUGCGUUUCCAACCAUUGAGCUGGCCAUUUGAGUUUGAGUCCUGAGUUAGACACUCUAAUUUUCCAUGGUGACUCUACUUUAUAGACACCAAUAAUGUAUUAUUCUAGAUUGGAAUUGGUAAAAGCUAUAUUACCAAAGGCUAAUUGCGGCAUUAAUUGAUUAUAAUGUGCAUUUUGAAUUCCAUAUAUCCCCAGUAAAAUUUUUGUUACUUAAUUCCAGUUGGUUAUCUAAUCAUCUUAUGGGCUUUAAUUUCAUUGAAAGUCAGUGUGUGAAAAUUUCUUAGCUUCAGAAUCUAAGGUUUGUUCCUUAAAUGAAUUAAAUUAUUAAAUCAUUAAAGAGAUAAAAGUUAUCUUUCAGAAUAGUAGUCUUCUUUGCGCAUGGCAUCAAACCAAUGUCAUCAUCAUCCGAGCCUUAUUCCAACUAUUUGCCUUAUCCUAAUGGCAUCAAACCAAUGCCAUUCUCCUCAAAUUGGAAUGUAAGAAAAUUCAAAAAAUUGUGGAUGAACCACACAGGGAUACUGCAUGCUGUGACUAUAUUUGUCUUGAAACUUCCUCUGGGUAGAUAGGAAUCGGGUUUGGGUCGAGACGGUAGCUGCUGGGUUUUCAUAGCAGAAUGUCUCAAGUUCCAUUCCUAUAUAACCUUGUACAAAAAAAAAAAAAAAAAAAACUCCUUUGGGUAUAUAGUUUAGAAAUUCAGCAUUGGAUAUUGAGUAAAUAUUAAUAAAGUAAUGAAUUUCUUUUGUGAAGCUAGACAGAGAAAUAAUGUGGUGUUUAAGAGGUUCCAUGAGAAAAGCACUUGUUUGGAUCAUUGAUAAUGUUUCAUCAUUUAUUCAUGAAAGAGUUUGGCAGCUGAUUCACAGAGGGAAAGUAUAUCAUAAUCCAAUGAUUUAUGUUUAUGGUAUGGUGUGUGUAUCCACUCUCUGCUCUAUGAUUGAAUGGUGUAGAUUAACCACAGUUCUGAGCAACUAUUCUCCUUCUCUUUUUCUUUUUAUUUUGCAACUGUCCUAAGCAACUAUACCCAGGAGAAAAUGACAUAUUGGUGAACCUGCUAGAAGGGGCAGAGUUUUGGGUAUAAUUAGAAGUUGUGUUCUAAAUUGGCCAACUCAACUCACACUUGGCCUCGGCACCCUGCAGAGGUAAAUAUUGUGUAUGAAAGGGGGACUUGUAGGAAACCUGUACAGUGCUCGUCCUGAGCACCGUUCUCUCAAAACAAAAAAUAAAAAGGGGGCAUAAAUCUGCCACAUUUUUUCAUUUUCCUUACCCAUACCUCCUCCACCCAUGCUUUAUGGAAUUCUUAGGCUGGGGCCUGGAGUCAAGGAGUUGUGACCGAGGCUUGUUUGCCACCCUUGGAGGCUAGUACUAGCAGUUUCGUGGUUCCUGACAACCCAGAGGAAGCACGGAGAGAGAUUUUCUGAAUGGGUGCAGCAAUUCAACAAUACAAGGAACAGUGGGUUGAUAAAGAUGUUUCAAUGAAUCUAGACAAGGAGAUUAGAUGAGUCCUGAUUAAUGGCUCAGACCAGUGUUUUAAAAUUUGCCAGUCUAGAUUGGGAAUCAUCGAUCUGGAUCAGGAAUCGGUGGGGAUCGACCUAGUUCCGAAUAUUGGUUAGGGGAGCCAGGGUGAAGAUUUUGGGACGUGAGAAAAAGGACAAGGGGGUUGGCUGUUUGAAGGGCAAUAUGUCUGAUUGCUAAGGAAUCUAGUCAGCAUGUUUGGUGUGUUAUGGGGGAUGGGAGUAGAAUUGUGUUUGGGGGGACUUGUGGUGUGGGAUAGGUGUUGCGGGAUGGGGAAUGAUAUGUGACAUUAACGAGAGUGGCAGUUAACCCCAGUGUGUGGGUGGAGGAGUCGUCUUGCAUGGGGGAGAGGUCAGGUUCCUAGGUUUUCUGGGUAUUUAAAAGAAGAGGAGAUGAAUGAAUUGCUAAGAUGUUGUUGGAACUUGAAAAUAUAUCUGUGCCAUUAGCAACAAAAGAUAGAUGCAGUUAUGGCAGAUAUUGGAGGUAAUUUGAUGGCUAGGUAAUAUGAUGGCUAAGCCAUUUUACAGGUUCCUAAUAAGGGAGGUGGGUAUUGAGAGUCCUGCCAUGGCUAGGAUGGUGUGGGGUAAAGGCUUCAUUCUGGGUGUGGUGUUUAGCUGGUUAGCUUUUAAAGAUAGAAUUCUUGCAUCAGAUAACCUUCAAAAGUGGGCCCUCUAUUUUUGUAAGUGGGGGACCGAAAUGGUGAGACAUAGCAGUGGCGUUAUGUCUUACAUGUUAGGUUCUUUUGGGAUGGAACGUGUUAUGUCAGCAUCAGUGGAGGAAUUUCUGAGAGGAUAUUUUUUCUCUGCCUAUAGGGGGAAGAUGAUGCGGAGACUUUGUAGUCUUGCUAUGAUGCAGGGUUUGUGGAAGGAAAGAACAAUUUGACCUUUCAAGGAUGGGGUGUAUGGGUGGGUCUCUGCUCUCCAAGAAAGGAUCCAUGACAGUUCUUUUACUCGGGCACAGUCAUCGCCUGAGUUUUGGGGCUAUCAAGCAGUGGGUUUUGUGAUAAGAUGUUGGUGAUACUUCAACCCCCACAUCACUAAACCCACUGGUAUAUUGGUCAGGAUAGUUAUAUGUUGAAGCUGAAAUUUGAUGGUGUAGAGGGGUAAUCUGGGCUUGUAUUGGAGGUGUAUCUACAGAUGCAGCAGUCUUAAAUUAGGAGAAAUUCGGGUCUCUAGUGUUAUUGUGAUUCAACUGAGGCUGAGGCACAGUCAUUGCUGGUAGGAUUGAGAACAUGUCCUGCUUGUAUACCCUAGCCACUAGAGAUGGAAGGAGCCUCAAUGUUAUAAGAUGAGUUUGGAAGAAGCAAUCAAUUCAUUGAUGUUUGUCGAUGUUUUUUGUGGAGAUUUUCAAUGUUUGCUAUUUGUGACAGUAAAACAAUCUCAUUCCUAUAUAUCCUUCUGGAGGUGAAUGAGGAGACGGAUGCACUAGCCAAUGUAGGGGUGGACAAGGAAGAUCUAAUUGUGCAUACUUGGAUUGUUUUUGUUGUUUUCUUUUUUAUUUAAUUUUCUUUUCUUUAUACUUUUAUUCUCUUUCUGUUCAGUCUUUUCCUGUCCUAUUCCAUUUGUAAGCCCUAUUUAGGGGCAUAAACUUGUAUCAUAUAAUUUACUCUGAUAAAAUUUCAUUACCCAUCAGAUAAAAACUUUGGGACUUAAAUCUUAAUCGCCUGUCAUCAAGGAUUGACGGUGGAUUCCCUCCUGCUGUAUCAUAUGACCACCAUUGGUGUAUGGUAUAGGCUCCAAAGCAAUGCAACAAUUUCAAUUGAUUAGACUAAGUGCAGAUGACUAAGCCUUUGAAGCUCUGAUAUCUAAUUAUCCGAGUUUCAAUAUAUCCUCAUGUGAAUAUAUGAACUCUGUGAAUGGGAACAUAAUUGGAUGUAAGUGCUUCACAAUUAUGUCGAGAAAUAUAAAGCGAUUUGUUCUUCAGAAUAACUAAUAUAAGAGAAAUAAAAGUUUUUCUUUUGAGUAUUUAUAAACACUUCGAAAUUUAUGCUGAAUGUUUUGAGUUCCAUUCAGUUAUGAAGGUUAAUCUUGGAAUCAAGUCAUCAUGCUAUCAGCUAGAGACAUUUUAGUGGUGUUUGUCUAUUUAUAUUUCUAUCCUCUAGAAAAUCCAGAAAUAUUUGUAACACUUUACAUACUAAGUUCCCAGAAAAACUAAGAGGUAGGGCUGGCAAUGGGCCAGGCCCAGGUCUUGCCCUGCAGGCUAGAGCCUUACCUGUUGGAAGUCAUGGGCCAGACAUGAGCUCCAGCCAUCCGUUUAUAUUUAGGGGAUUAAUGCUUUCCAUUGUGAUUAUUUAUUUGUGUGUGUGUGUGUGUGAGAGAGAGAGAGAGAGAGAGAGAGAGAGAGAGAGAGAGACACACUAACUCUUCGUUGUUGUUAGUUAGUUAGUAGUAGUACGUACUACGUACGACCACGUAGACGACACUACCUACCUACCUUACGUUUACCGUUACGUAGUAGNNNNNNNNNNNNNNNNNNNNNNNNNNNNNNNNNNNNNNNNNNNNNNNNNNNNNNNNNNNNNNNNNNNNNNNNNNNNNNNNNNNNNNNNNNNNNNNNNNNNNNNNNNNNNNNNNNNNNNNNNNNNNNNNNNNNNNNNNNNNNNNNNNNNNNNNNNNNNNNNNNNNNNNNNNNNNNNNNNNNNNNNNNNNNNNNNNNNNNNNNNNNNNNNNNNNNNNNNNNNNNNNGGAGAGAGAGAGAGAGAGAGGAGCAUAAACCCAUCUUUUGUGUAUUUGGUAUUUGAUAGACCUAUAGCCCACAUGGAGCAUCCACCACUUUGUUCCCAGUGAUGAAUGGUGGAGACUAGCUGUGUUUGCACAAAUACCCAUUAUAUGUUAUUUGGAGCUGUGGACUGCUCCUGUGGUGUACCAUAUACCAUGCACCAGAGAUGAUAUAUUUUUAUAUGGGAUUGUUUGCUAUGGGGCCAUGUAUUUUUGUUACGAGGAAGUCACAAUUAUUUUUAGCCAUUAGAUGUCAAAUUGGAUGGCUUGGGGUGUGUCACGAAGUUUGAUAUUUUUUUUAACUUUAAGUUUAGUUAAUGACACUCUUACAACCACCCGGUUUGAAAUUUGACGGACAACAGUGAUUGUGAUCUUCUUAUACCAUGAGUAAAUCGUCUCUUUGUAUAUUUUUCUUUUUUAUAUAGAAUCAUAGAUGGCAAGUAUGUCGAAAGGGAUACAAUUUAAUAUAAAUAAAAGGAAUCCCAAAAUCAUUGAUUUGAAAUGGAAGGAAAUUAGUACAUCUAACAAAACUUGCCACAUGGAAAAUUGGAAGACUGCGUCAGUUCUAUUUAAAAUUUUUUAUGGAAUAGAUUCAAGAUACAAUGAGAAGUUGGUGGAGUGUCGCAACAUGAUGUCUUGAGUUUUAUUAUUAUUACGGGUAGAAGAUUUUUUCUUUGUUGAUAAGAAAAAAAAAAAAAAUCAACUUUAAAAAAUGUGUAAUACACUUGACACAUAUUAGAAAGAGAUACCAAAGGCAGGGGGAUAAAAGGCAAGGUUCUUGGACACCAAAAAUAUGAGAGGCAGGGUUCUUGAACAAGACAUGGAAUGCUUUCAAGUGUUUGAAACAUAAAGAGUGUUUGGAGUGCCGACUUUAAAAUCAGUUUUAAGGCAUUUUGUUAAGAAGAAAGAGGAAUCAAGACAAAAUAAUGAAAGAGGAGUGAAUGGAAACAGAAAAAAAAAAAAAAGAUCACUUCAACUUCAAAGAAACGUCGUAUAUUAGGAUAACGUGGUAUAUUAGGUUAAGGAAGAUAUCGAAGUGCCUCUAGCGCAUGGCUCAACUUUUGACAUCUGCAGAUUUCGUCAUUUUUAAUUAAAAAAAGAAAAGAAAAGGACAAUUGUUGUGAAGAAAAAAAAGGAGGCAAAGUAACCCAGUAUCGAUAGUUUUUAGUAAAAGAAGAAAAACAUUUUAGUAAAAGAAGAAAAACAAAAAGUAUGAAAGUAAAUCAUAAGAGAUUAAAUUAUUGGUCAUAAAUAUUUAAAGGGUGUUGUUUGCAUAAGGUUGCAAACUUAAACAAUGACAAUAAGGCUCAUCUCCAAAUUUUUUUCAUAAAUUAGAGUUUUGGUGAAAAAAUUCUUAAGAUGGGUUGAGAAUCCAUUUUCAAAUUAAGUAGAUUUAUAAUCACAUGAAAAUUUUGAAAAUUGACCGUCCAAACAAUGUAUUGCAAGAUGUAUUAUUUUUGAGACCUGAAAUCUUUUUUUUCGUCAAAUUCAUACAUCUCGGUGUUGAGAUUAUCAAUUAAAAGAUUUUUUGAAUAUUAAAAUACGUUUUUUUUAUAUGAGGUUGCAAUCUUAUAUAAAUUUUUCUAUUUUUAAAUAGACCCAAAUUAUUAUUUGGCUCCAAAAUCGCCUUUCCCUUUACGAAGCAUUUUCAUUUGUUUCAAUCGCCUUUCCCUUUUUUUUUUUUUUUUUUAAGUUUAAACAUUUUAACCUCAAUUCAAGUAGCGUGCCUUGAUAGGUAUUUAAAAAAAAAAUAAAAAAUAAAAAAUAAAAUAUUAAAUGGCUAAGGGCGAAACUGUCUUUAACUGAAAGCAUGUGGGUAAUUUCGACUGAACAUAGUCUGCAGACUCUGCACCAUAAGAGAGAGAGAUUGGAAGCUACGAAAAAUUCACAUGAAAAGGUAAUACAGAGAGAGAAAGAGAGUUUUGUGAAGAGAGAUGAGAGAGAGAGGAAGAACAAUUAAGAGAGAGAGAUGCACAAACUGCGUUCAUCCCUCACAGCUUCAGUAACCGAACAAUGUUUGGGUUUUGGAGGAGUUCGUCUCCUCAUGUUAAAUCUGUACGCUGUGCUAAGUUUUGGUUUUUUGUGUAAUCUUUUAUUCGUCUUAAACAUCAUUUAGUUGAUACUUGAUUGAUUGAUUCUCUCUCUAACUCGCUUUCUCUUAGUUGAUUGUUCAUUCUCUUUCUCUCUCUAGGAAAAGAGACAAGAACCAUGGCUUGCAAGCAGUUUGAAGCCUGAGAAUUUUGUACCUGGAUUACUCAUAGGUUUUCUUCUUGGAUUACUUUUGGAGUUGCCGAAAAUUUCACGAACCAGUCCAGCUCUGAGGCUUCCAUCUACUUUGAGCAAGAAAAAGAGAUUGCUUUCUCCUUCCUGUGAUGAAGAACUUAAAAUGGUUAAUGUUCUUUUUGUGUUAUCUGAAACAAAAAAAAAAAGAAAAAAAAAAGAAACCUGUACUCUCCUCUGUUUCUUUCUUAGAAAGAUGGUUCUUUUCUGUGGUGCAUUUUAGUUUGUGGCUUUUUUGAGCAAUUGAUUAAAAAUAUACUUUUUUCUUGCCAAAUUUUUAGAUAACUUUAUUAUCAUUAGAGUAGCAACAUUAAAAAACAAAAAAGUGAUUUUAAAUUUAUAAAGGCCUAGAUGUUGAAAUUCGGUCAGUUUAGAUUCAUUGUUGGAGGGUACUCAUUUUAACAAUAUAUAGGGUGCAAAUUGAUUUUUUUUUUAGAUUGAUUAUUGAGAUGAAGAGAGUGUUGG